AGGCAGAUGGAUUUUCAAGAAGGGUGUUCAUUUGUUAUUGUGAUGUUGAAAGAAACCCUGUCUACAUGAAGUACCUUCAACGUGACCCAUGACCGCCCGGAGACACUUGAGUUCAACAUCAAAGUGUGGGGAUGUGCCUCACUAUGUUUAGACUAAACUGGAUGUUGUUUACAACUUUCAAGCGCCAAGGGUCAGAUUUACCACGUGAAUUCAAAUAUUAAUGGUCUCAGCCCUGGAAUAUGGCAGCCGUAUCGCAAGUUAUCGUAUGAAUCCUCCGUUCUCUGACCUGCUGCAUCGCCAUCCGAGAUGCUGUGCACGCAAUACUGUCGAAUUCUGGCUGUUUCAAACACCAUCUCACUGUUUUUUGCGGUGAAUGCUGUAAUCAGUGCACAUGAGAAAUGCACAACAGAUUUAUUCAAAUCCAAAGGGGUGAUCAAAAGCCCAAACAGGACACAGCUUCAAGACAUUUUUCUGCAUGAAAAUCAUGAGAGUAAUUUGACAUGCAGGUGGAUUAUUUAUCCACAGUCUGGCAUCAUCAAGCUAGAGUUUCCUAAAUUCAAGAUGGGAGUAAAGACAGCAGCCAAUGAAUGUACUAACUCAGUAACUUUGAAGAUGAUUGAUAGAAGUGCACGUUCUUUUGGUUCUCCAGAGGAAGUUCGACUGUGUGGUGUUAAGUCACCUCCGAGCUAUUUCAGCAAAGGACCUAUGCUGGAAAUAAAACUCAUGGGAAACCUUUUGCAUCCUUCUUUUGACAAUUUCUCCUUUGAAGCAUUGUACACUACAGUCACUACUGUACCCACUGUCCAAGACAAAUGUGAUCCUUGUGGUGGGAGGCUAAACAGAGAAACUGGAAUGAUCCGAUCGCCUAGAUACCCCAAAAAUUAUCCAAACAAUUGUGAUUGCAAGUGGAUUAUAUCAGUUCGCAAGGGAUACAUAGUGAAGUUAAAGUUUUGGGCUUUUUCGCUAGAGGAGAUGGAAGGUAAAAUAUGUCAUGACUUUCUGUCCAUCAAUGAUGGGACAUCUAGCGAUGCCACAUUGCUAGGUAAAUAUUGUGGAAACGAAAGUCCCGGAACUAUAAAGACGACAAAUAGCUAUGCCUUUCUAUAUUUUCAUUCGGAUUUCUCCAAAGCUAGCUCUGGUUUUGAAAUUAUGUUCGAGUCGCAGAGAGAUGAAGAGGACCUGACCAGCCUUCGCUCGAUUGCUGCUAUUCUUGGUGGCGUAAGUUUUGGUAUAUUCAUAUUCAUCUUGCUGUGUUCCAUCGUUUACAAACGGUAUGUUGGUGGGGAUGAUAGACGGAACACCUGCCCACCUGUAAAUGGAGAUGAUGAUUACUUGGACGCAGUACAAGCUGCUGCGCCUCCUUCAUACCAGGCAGUAAUGGCAGAUCCUGAUCAUUAUCCAAGAACCCCAGAGGUAACUCCAGCAGCCUCACCAGCUGUUACUCCAAUUCUGCCAAGACGAAAUUUGAUACGACCAUCACCGUUGCACUAUGAUGGUACCCCUCAUCUAGAGUCACUGGAAGAGGAUGAAUGGAACGGAGUAGAGACUCCACCACCACCUUAUCCGGGAAACGCAGCGCCGAGUUUUGAGGAGGAAAUUCUUAUCAGAGACCUGCCACCCCCACCAACAUAUGAAAUGGUCUCAGAUAAUGAGGAGCACGAGGAGUCCGUGCCUUCAUGGGCACCUUCGGAUUUACGCGUAGAACCAACGAUUCUUGCAACAACUGAAGCACAUAGUAGCUCCUCGAAUAAUUCUGAAAGCACUUCAACACAAGUGACAACAUGUGAAAGUAGCUGUUGUAGUUCAAAUGGACUCGUAAGGCUGGGUACCCCAUCCGGGGACUGCAGAUCGAGUUUCACGCGUCUACCUCACAGAGACGAAGUACUGUGUUUACGAUGUAUUGAAGAGUCUGUACCUGAAGUACGGAUUCGUCGACAACGAUCUGAUGGAAGUAUGCAUGAAAAUUAUUUAUUAUUAAGAGAUGACGGACAUGAAAGGAGUUUACGCUGCCCACACACGCAGCCGCUACGCCGUCGAAAAUCGUCUUACGAAUGCGGCGUUAAUGAUGAUAUUAAUGCAAAUACAGACAUUACGUGCGAUAAAAGGGAAGCUAAGUGGCUACAAGCUCGCAAAGAGCGAUGUCGAAGCGUUCCUUCGUUAAGCCAAAGAAGCGAAACUGCAGUGCAUCGCCGACGUAAUGUGUUCACUAACCAUUCCCCACUUACCAUUCGGUCGCUGUUUGGCAGACAUAAUCACAAUCAUAAUUCUAAUCGCGUUUCACCUAGGAAUUCAAGCUCGAAUAGUCAUGAUUCAAUUAGGGAUUCACAGCCGAGAACUGACACGGCUACUGCAAACUCUGUUCCCAGCCAUGAUCAACAACUUCGUAGGUCUUCGCAUAUUUGAAUUUUAGUUAUGUUAGGUGAAAGGUUAUUGUUUUAAUACAUAUAGUCUAUUGUUUUUUUUACUUGUAGAGUAUAUAUAUGUUAAAUAGAGGCAAGUUGAUUAGGGAGCGAUCAUUGCUAAUGCCUGAACUAAGGGGUAGGAAAUUGAUGAUGAUUUUUGGUAUUUCUCAGCCAUGCAAGACAUUUUACUUGGUUCAAAAUAGCUAAUAAAGAGCGAUUGUCGUUAGGUUAGUUAUCUUAUCAGCUUCAUUUUGGCAACUUAUUUUGCUUCGCUGUGCUUAUAACUGGCCUUUGAAGCCGCCUAAUAAAUCACAAAUUAUCUGUUCUCAAGAUAGAAAUGACUUAUGCAUUUUAUUUGUGGCCUAUUUUGAUGAUCGGAACCCAAAAAAAUUUGUGCGAUGUAUUACUUAUGUUGCUGUUGGGAACCAAUAAUGUGUUGCUCUUUGUACGUCUGUGUAUAUAGAAUAAGUAUUGAAAAUCAUAGUUUACGAUAAAGGACCUGCUCAAUUCAGCAGUUCAACUAUCACUUUUAUUUAUUUAGAAUAAACUUCGAGGGAAAAGCCAGCAAAGACAAUGUUGCCGCGAGACGCUUAGUUCUGUAGUACCUGCGUCACAGCGUCAAUAAAUGAUCAUUAGCGCAGUGUAAUUGGUUGCAACUAUGCGACAGACAGCGACUGACUAGGGCUGAAAGACUACGCUGCACCACCGCAAGCAUCUGCACGACUUUUCAGGUUAUAUGCAAACCAGCGUUUACGACCGCAGUGCCACGAAGAGAUCGUGAAAUGUGUCGAUUCUGAAGACGGAAUUCAUGCCUCCUUCCAAGUUGGUCGACUUAAUACGUUUUCUUUGAUAUGAAAAUUUCUUCAUUACCCGAUAUUCUUGAAAGUCAGCAAAGAUUUCCCCGCAGCCUCCCCUGCAAUGCCUCAAGAAAAAUGAAAGGGAAAUGUUGUGAUAAAAUUAUUCAUCUCCAAGUACCCUUUCAAUUUAAUAGAUG
RNA transcript from Rhopilema esculentum, 3396 nucleotides. RefSeq lists it as uncharacterized. Lineage: Eukaryota; Metazoa; Cnidaria; Scyphozoa; Rhizostomeae; Rhizostomatidae. The record is from RefSeq and is a predicted model, not a curated record.